GACGAACGCUGGCGGCGUGCUUAACACAUGCAAGUCGAGCGUUGAAGCUUCUUCGGAAGUGGAUUAGCGGCGGACGGGUGAGUAACACGUGGGUAACCUGCCUCAUAGAGGGGAAUAGCCUUUCGAGAGGAAGAUUAAUACCGCAUAUGGUAGCUUUAUCGCAUGGUAGUGCUAUUAAAGGAGUAAUCCGCUAUGAGAUGGACCCGCGUCGCAUUAGCUAGUUGGUGAGGUAACGGCUCACCAAGGCGACGAUGCGUAGCCGACCUUAGAGGGUGAUCGGCCACAUUGAGACUGAGACACGGCCCAGACUCCUACGGGAGGCAGCAGUGGGGAAUAUUGCACAAUGGGGGAAACCCUGAUGCAGCAACGCCGCGUGAGUGAUGACGGCCUUCGGGUUGUAAAACUCUGUCUUUGGGGACGAUAAUGACGGUACCCAAGGAGGAAGCCACGGCUAACUACGUGCCAGCCGCCGCAGUAA
This 478-nucleotide ribosomal RNA is filed under the name uncultured bacterium. RNAcentral's name for it is "partial 16S ribosomal RNA". It matches the Rfam family "Bacterial small subunit ribosomal RNA", at positions 28 to 523 of the family's 1533-position model. The record is from RNAcentral.